Rattus norvegicus (Norway rat) is the source of this 13912-nucleotide non-coding RNA. The record is from RefSeq and is a predicted model, not a curated record. Lineage: Eukaryota; Metazoa; Chordata; Mammalia; Rodentia; Muridae.
GCUUGAGCAUUUUCCUUAAACCAUUAACUUCUUAGAGGUAUGAGGUGGCAAACGAGAAAGAAAGAGAGGAAGACAUUACGUUUUCCACUACAGUUUUGUUAUGUAGGGAUUUAUUACAAAGAGAGUUGGGUUUCCUUUAAGAGUUAUUGAAACUGUUUUUUUUUUUUUUUUUUAGCAGUUCAUGUCCUGAACCAUUUCAGCCACGCCAGUGUCUGGCUCCUCUAGAAGGUUCUGAUUUGAAAAGCAUAUUGUACCCGAUUCACCAGGUGCAUGAUACUCAAGGAAGGAGGAAGGAAGACCCACUGGAUUCAUUGCAAGAGUGCGACUCACUGCCCACUUGCAAAGUCACGCAAGGGCAAACACGUCACCUUCAAGAUGAAGAAGGUCUUGUUCUUGCUUCUUUCACAUGAACUUCACAUCUAUGUACCUUUUACUUUUAAAAAGGGAACCCACCCCCAAUUUCUGAGCUAAAAUGUGCCCAAUAGGGAGAAUAUUUUAUUCGUUCAUGUUAUUUAGCAUGCUAUGAUCCUUAGGGAAUGUUUGCUGUCAUACAGUGCCAUGAGAUAUAGAAUAGCUCCAUAACAUUCCAUGCCCAUUUCAGACACUGAGAGGUGCACAAGAGUACACAUACACACAGGCAGAUUUUACUAGAAUGAAAUAGAGACAGUAUUGGAAAGGGAAGAACAUGACACGGUUUAUUUGAUGUGGUGACAAUUCACCUCAGGGAUGAUGAUCUUUAGCAUUGGUACCCAGAGCAGAAAUACUAAAUUGGCCAUUCUUCAAUGUUAUACUUUUCCUUCAGCAAUAAAGAUUAAUUAGGUGCCCAUUUAAAGCCCAGGGUUCUCUAUCACCUGCAGCAUAAAGCCCCUGCCCAGUCUGUUUCCCUUUCCAGCCUGAGCUAGAAGUACUUCAUCCCCGUACCAGAUGCUCCUAAGGGCACUGGCUUCCUAGGCUGUGCCUACAGCUGUGCUCACAUCUGUCCCCAACCUGCCCUCUGCUCCCCCUCCAGUACCUCGUCUCUUCCUCAUCAGCAAUUCUCACCCUUCUCCAUCCUGUGGAAAGCGAAUCUGACAGAAUCUAUUCUCUUUCUCUCCUGGUCUGUUAUUAUAUUAGAGCUAACUGCUUUCCUGUUUGUCUUCCUUGAGGGAAGGUCAUGGGCAGCCUGGGCUCUACUGUUGGGUCAUUAUUGACAAUAUGUGUCAGUAAAAGGAGUAAGCAGUUCAACAAUAUAUGUCUACACAUAGGUGACUUCAAAUCUUUUUCAGAAGCAGGGAGGAUACAGAGAAUAAGGAGGCUGGGGCUCUCCCAGCUCCUGCGCAGCCCAUUGGAGUCUCUGCUUAAAACUCGUAGCUGACAUUUUUUCCUACUUCAAUGAUGAAGGAAAAGUAGCUUCAAAUUUGGAAACCAAUUCUGCCUUCGUUCCACCAUCCCCUAAUCUCCUAUUGCACACGUUAUUGUCUUAGUUGUCCACAUCUUGACCGAGCUGGGCCUGCUCUCUUGCCUAUUCUAAAGGCCCCUUAACGACUACAUAACCACACCCAACGCAAUUAUAGGAAGGCAAAGAAAUAAGUUGCAAAACCAUUCCAGGCCCACUGCUCACCUAAGGCUGGCAUAGAAGACUAGCCUGGUUUGGCAACUGGGACAGGAAAGCACGCACAGGCCACACCCCAGGGGUUCUCGAUGGACGAGAGAAUUUCAAUUUUCUCAGGGGACAAAUCAGCAUCCCUCUAGGAUGCUGAUAUCAAGAGGACCACUGCCCUUCUGAUAGAAGCUUUCUCUUAGCAUUUUUUAUCAUUCCCUUCUCAACUCUGACCAUGUUCAAAACUCCAUUCUUCUUUGGCUUUAAAUUCACUUGCCUGGUCAUCUUUCUACCCUGCCCAGGUCUUUUUCCAGCUCCCAUGCAUGGUGUGUCUAUGCACAGAGACUCCGAAUCUGUCUUCAUCUAACCCCUGGGCCAGGAGUUUCAACUCUACUCUAGCCCUACCUUUCCCAGGAACCCAAAACCUGUCACAGCACUCACUACUACAGCUGCCAAUUAACACCAACAAAACCAUGUCCCAGGUUCCCUUCACGAGUCUCCUCCUCACCAGAUUUCCUGACCUCUUCAAGAGAACCAACAUCUUCAAGAACUCUAGCAACAAGAACCUGGUUCCUUUCCUCAGGGCCCUUCAACACACAAGCAUAUGAGUCCUUCACAUAUUUACAAUGUAGCCUGAGUCCUUCCGCAUCUCCCAUUUCAUCUAAGCAGUGUGAAUUCUCACCUACACCACUUCCCUAACUCAUCUUGUCCUCUAUAGAGCAGGCAGAGGAAACUUUCCAAAGGCAAAGCAGACAGCAUCAUUCCCCUAUGUUAGAAAGCCAGGCACUUCCUACCAAGCUUAAGGGAAAACUCAACUGGCUUCUUCAGACUUACAGCUUGGCCCUACAGGUCCUUUUCCUCUACCCUCUCAGGAAGCUGCAUCCACAGCAUCCUUCCCUGCAUUGCUUGUGGCAUGAGGCCUUCUCAACAGUCAGUUCUAGCUCACACACCUAUCAUUCUCAGAAACUGAACUCUCUCUCACUGCUGGAUUUUCCUCACAUCACUUGUCUUUGACAUAUUUAUGGUACAUCAUGAACCUCAGGCUCUGUACCCACUAUGACAUCGGUUUCUUAGGAGCACAGACCUUCUCUGUUCCAUUUGUUAAGGACCCUUGAUGGCCAGGAGAUCCUCAGCAUCACCUCUUGAGAUGAAGGUUGUAUGACCAUCAGGCUACAUGCACAGCUGAAGAUGUAUGGUCCAGGGCUCCUCUCCUACUUCUUCAUUGUGUCUACGCACACACUCACACACACACUCUCACACUUACACACACAUACAUGCACAUAUAUAAACAAAUGACCAUAAGUAUGAACAAAUAUAUGUAUGUAUUUGAAUUAUAUUUUCCACGAACACCUCCACUAGCUGAUUAUAGGAGAUAAUCUUUGUAUUUACUUGGAAUUUCCACGUUGCAUAAUAUUUCAUAAUAGGUGUGCAAUAAAAAUAUUCCCUCUGCCAAGGAAUCACACAGUAUGUCGCAAGAGAAGUAUUAGAAGCUUCCCUGUCCUUUUCAUUGGCGUUAUAAUGACUACGCACUCAUCAUCUUCUCUGUACCUGACAUCCCUCACUUCUGUUACACUGGUGCAAAGUUGGGGACCAAGGGCUGGUGAGAUGGCUGGGGAGGGGAAGGCACACGCUACCAAGUCUGAUACAAAGAGUUCGAUCCCAGGGACACACAAGGUGGAGAAAGCUGACUUAUGCAAGCUGGUCUCUGUCUCUGUCUCAUAAACACACACACACACACACACACACACACACACACACACAUUGCAAAAAACAGGACUCAGAGGGGCUCUGUAAAUGGACCCAAGCCUCUGAAAACAAAUAUUAAAGCAGCAAGUAGCACAACUGCACCACAUGUGUGGAAGAAACAGAAUGAUGCGGGGAAGGGCUGAAGCCAGGCGAUGCUGCGUCUUUGUACUAAGUGUCUGUGUGCACCCAGUGCUACCCCCAAGGGCCAAAAGGAAGGCUAAAGGAGAUGAAGACAAGGUGUAGGACAAGAUACAUACAAGAUCUGAAGGUUUGUCUGCUAAUCAUGCUCCCCCAAAGCCAAAGCCCAGGCCUAAGGGGGGUGGGAGAGAAUGGAUGCUUCAAGGACAGCAAGAACCCUGUAGAAAACAGGGCUAAGGCAAUGGUUCAGCAGCUAGAGCUGACUGUUCUUCCAGAUGGCCUAGGGUUCGAUCCCAGCCCCAACCUGGUGGCUCACGUGGUGGUCUGUAAUUCUGGUUCCGGAAGAUCCACUGUCCUUAUCUUCAUGGACACUUUCUGCAUGUGUGCACAGACACAUACACAGGCAAAACAGGUAUACAUAUAAAACAAGAAUAAAUUAAAAACAAAACGGUGAUGCCAGACAGAGCAAGCACAGGAAGCUGAAGAUACUCACGGCAGCCUGUGCGCUUUUGAUGAGUGUGGAUGUCUGGGGUAUGUAGAGUUUAGAAUACCAGUUUUCAUCCAGUUUUAUAAAAAUGUAGGAUUUUGUUUGUGUUCUUUAAAGCUACAUUGUUAGCAUACAGAAUACAUCAGUGGUCUUUAGGGAAGAAAUAUAUCUCACUAAAGGAAUGUCUCCCCGGGCUGGAGAGAUGACUCAGCAGUUAAGACCACUGGCUGCUCUUCUACAGGACCUGGGUUCAAUUCCCAGCAACCACAUGGUGGCUCACAACUGUCUGUAACUCCAGUUCUAGGGAAUCCCACAUCCCUACACUUCACAUGCAGGCAAAUACCAAUGCGCAUGUGAUAAAAAUAAAUUAUUAAAAAAAGAAUGUUUCCUGAGCUGAAUUGAUGUGAGAAAAAAAAAUACCCUUUUCUUCCAGUUGGAGAUCCUUCCUGAUUUCUAGGGACUCCCCUGGUGUUGACACGCAAGGCUACCUUGGUAAAAAAAAACGCCUCGUAUAUGAGAAAACUCUUUCACAUUGUCUUCCUCAUCUACCACCAACACAGACUUUCCUCCCUGAAAACUUUGAAGACCUUCUGGGACUCACCCUCUAAACCUGAUUCUGUCAGGUGACCUGGUCUCUGCGGUGACAUCCCUGAGAUGGUGUCCCUCAAAAGAGCAGCGGUUCCUUUUCUAAAAGGUCGAGGCUUUUCAAAUGGACCAGUCUGCCAAUUUCAUUCCACGUCAGGAAUCGGCUUGUGAAAAGCUGUUAAACAACGUUCUCAGCCUUCGCCCUAAAUGUUCCCUGUACAAAGCAUUGCACAGAGAUAUCCGUUGAAGUAAUUUUGUGGGAGAUUUCUGCCUCUCUCUGGCCCACAUAGCUCCUGAAUAAAAGACACAGAAACCUGGCAUUUUUGUGAACAAGCGGUAAGCCUAGACUAGGCAGGUUCUGAUCUAUUCUAAUCUACAUCCCAGCCACAGGCUCCGUGGUACUUGCUGUUUGAGUCUCCCAUGGCUUGCUCUGUUCUAUGUGUGUCCUCAGGAUGAGCUUUUCUUGGCCUUGUGCUCUUGGUCUAUCCUUCCUCAUGGUGACCUUCUUUCCCUCUUCUUCCUUCUCUCUUGUGGUCCCCUUGGGAUCCCUCAACUUGAUUGAAAUAAAAUUCUGCCUUCCUGUCCUCUCUGCCUAGUCAUAGGUCCAGCCUUUUAUUAGUCAACCAGGAAUUAUUAGGGAACAUUCUUUAGAGCAUAUUGGUUAAUACACUACCCCAAGGUCAGGUUGCAGUCUGGACAGGGGCACAGAACUCAGUGUCUGAAUACACAGCAUAGAAGACUAUCCCCCAGGCUGGAGAGAUGGCUCAGUGGUUAGGAGCACUGACUGCUCUUCCAGAGGUCCUGAGUUCAAUUCCCAGCAACCACAUGUUGGCUCACAACCAUCUGUAAUGGGAUCUGGUGCCCUCUUCUGGUGUGUCUGAGGACAGCUACAGUGUACUUAUAUAUAAUAAAUAAAUAAAUAAAUAAAUAAAUAAAUAAAUAAAUAAUAAAUCUUUUUUUCUUUUUUUCGGAGCUGGGGACCGAACCCAGGGCCUUGCGCCAACCCAAUAAAUCUUUUUUUAAAAAAAAGACUAACCCCAACAGAUAUUACUGGGUUUUAUGGUAGUGAGGCCAUACAAGAAGGGAGGUUGGAAGUUAAUGACUAUGUCCUGACUGAAAAGCAAUGAUUAUUAUGAAAAAUACCUUUAAGAAACCUCUGGUGUUGGGGUUGGGGAUUUAGCUCAGUGGUAGAGCGCUUGCCUAGCAAGCACAAGGCCCUGGGUUCGGUCUCCAGCUCCAAAAUAAAAAAAUAAAAAGAAACCUCUGGUGUUGGCACAGGAGGCAGAAGCUGGAGUUUGAGGUCAGAGGGGGCUACAGAAUGAGCUCCAGGACAGAUAAGGCUUGAAAAACAAAAACAAGCAAAGAAACCUAGAUACAGAUUGUCUCAGAAAAAAAAAUGUUUCUUACAAAGGGAAGGUUGUUCAAAAGGUUAGAGUGAGGGGACUGGAUUGCUUAGUAACCUUCAAUUCAACUCUAAUACAGCCUCAUUUAAAAAAAAAGAUUUAUUUGUUAUAUAUAAGUACACUGUAGCUGUCUUCAGACACACCAGAAGAGGACAUCAGAUCUCAUCACAGAUGACUGUGAGCCACCAUGUGGUUGCUGGGAUUUGAACUCAGGACCUUUGGAAAAACAGUCAGUGAUCUUAACCACUGAGCCAUCUCUCCAUAAUACAGCCUCUUAAAUUCCAGCUUCUGUCAAAGGCAGGGCAAUAAGGUCCAGUCACAUAUGGCUAGGUGCAAGCCUAGAGAAAAAGGACCUCAGAGCUGAGUGACUGACAGUGACUAAGACCUCCCAGGCAGCAUCUACACCUUAGGUUGUUACCAGGGAUCUUAUCCACGAGUUAUUAACCACAGACAUUUUUCCAAAUCUGUUUACUGAAGAUGCUACAUGCAGGUGUGUAGAGCACAUGACAAAUUGAUUGGUAACUGAAGGACUGGACCAUUGAACUAUGUCUCCUUCCCAUGCAAUGAUACCAGUCUCAUGGUCAAAGCAAAACUUAUCACCAAGAACAUUAAAGAAAAAUGCUAUAUAAAUGGUAUGUGUUCAAACAAAAGCCACAAAUCUCUGAUGAAUGGGACAGCACUCCUAAAUUCAUAUUUUCCUGUACUUUAGAUUGGCAUUGAAAUGAAAUCUAACUAGACAGUGAGCUCGGUACACUCGGGCAAAUUCAUCGCCAGUGAAAGGGCACGGGGCUCCAACAGAGGUUGUAGGUAGGCAACCUCCUUUGAACAAAUUGCAGAUAGGCGCUUUAAUGAUGGAGAAAAUGUGAGCUAACAUAACUGCAGUCAAAUCAGUUCCUACAGGAGGCAAAGUGCAUUAACUCAAGUGAUGAUAUCAGCCACCAAAAUACCAGCCGGGGAGAACAAGAGGCUGUCAAAGAAAGACGCUGCUGCCUUGCCAACACAGCCCAGGGACAGGCUUCACUGCAAUAUGACAGUCUCAAGGGGAGCACAGGUUUUCUUUCUAAAUGUCAGCUCUCUAAGUGAUUUUUAUUGAUGUCUUUUUCUUCUUCUUUUUUUUUUUCUUCUUGACUCUCUAGUUAUCCCUGACUACCAACAGGAGAUCCCACUUGCUUAUGGUGAUGGCUACAGAUGUCCUCACCUUGAUAAAUAAUAGAAAUUUCCCGUCAGCCUCAACUACACUUUCAUGACUACGUAAUACGGGCAAUAGUGUCCAGACCAAUUCGUAUCACUCAAGUGCCUUGCUAAACAAUCCUUCAGGCAAGGGGGAUCCUUUACUGGGUCCUCAGUAGAAUCGGUUUUAGUGUCCCGACAUAAAAGAAGCGGGAGCUGUUAAGAGGCCAGAGCAUGCUUUCACAAAUAUCUAUCCAACAGUUCAGAAUGGAAAGUGGCUGACGGUGAGAAGAGAAAGAAUGUCUCGCCAACUGUGGUGGUUUGAACAUUAUUGGCUCAUGGGAAGUACUAUCAUAAGGCGGUGUGGUCUUGGAGGAAGUAUAUCACUAUGGGGGUGCUUUGAGGCCCUAUGCUCAAGCUCCAUCCAGUGCAGAAGAGCCCCUUCUCCUGGCUGCCUGCCUGUAGAAGACAGUCUCUUCCCGGCUGCCUUUGGAUCAAUAUGUAGAACUCUCAGCUCCCCCAGCACCAUGUCUGCCUGCACGCUGCCAGGCUUCCCACCAUGAAGGUAAUGGACUGAACCUCUGAAACUAUAAGCCAGCCCCAGUGAAAUGCUUUCCUUUGUAAGAACUGCCUUGAUGUCUGUUCACAGCAAUAAAAACCAAGAUACCAACCAGAGACUAAGAGUGUGUAAGGUCACAGAAGAGACCAGACUCUGGCCUUGCCAUUCUCUACUUUAAAAACUCUUUUUGCAAGUCAUUUUCCUCCUUUUGAAAGCAGCUUCCUCUUCUCUAUGAUGGAGAUACUCCUGUUACGUGAGUCUACCUGUUCUAUCCUCUUGAAGUUGAGACCUCAAAUCGCUUUGAGGGCUGCCUCAAACACCACAAACAAACAACUGGGUGGAGUUCAAAUAAACAAACAGUAAGAAACAACCUUGUUGGGCUUUCCUGGGAUUUGCAUUAGAACUAGUAUGUGGCGAGAGUCUCUGAACUGGAGAGCACUUCACAAUUACGGAGCCAAAUUGACUUUGGCAGAGCCUUGGAGUGCAUCGUGCCUCUCUGGGAGCGGUGCCACUCGGCAGUGCCCAGAAUCUAAGUGGGUCAGAGAAUCUCUCUGGAGAACUGAAACCCCAGAUUUCAAUAGGGAGAAAAAAAAUUAAGCCUGGCCCAAGUCUGCAUCUCCUCUUAACCACAUGAAUUAAUUCAUGGCAUGAUAGGCAUAUGCUCUUUACACAUAGUGAUGUGGGAAUGACUUCUAGAACAUUCUCUGGACAUCUCUGAAAAAUAUGACGGGACUUUUAUCACAGGUAAAAUUCCUCAGGUUCCUAGUGGGCAUCUCAGUGCUGAUUUGGGAAGACAGUGUACAGAGUGAAUGCUACACGGGUAUGUGAAGAGUCACUCUCUCCCUGCCAUUGCCACAGGAAAUAUUUCUGGGUUAAAAAAAAAAAAAACAACAACUAGUUUUUAGCCCCUCAGUCCAAAAUGGAGCCUCAGAACCCUUCUCAACACAGAGUCCCCAGUGGAUCCCUCAAAGAGGCAAUCAAAGAGAAGCAUCUAACACCAGUGGUCCUUAGAAUGAAGAGUAACUUAUGUACACUCCUGUGUCUUUCCGAAACAUUUUUCUACUUUCAAAGGAUAAACACUAUUACAUAGUUUUAUUUCUCAAAUCAAUAUACUCCACUCUUCCCUUACAUUUUAUGCAUAGCUCACACUAAGAAGCUUAAAAAUAAGCAGUGUUCACAAGCCCCACAUUCUGUUACAAGGUAUACGGGAAGACAACGGAUUCCAACCUUUGGUGUAAGGAAUUUUAGAACCAAAGAAUAUCCCCCAUGCUCGUGCGCACAGAUCGUGAGUGUCAGCCAAGUGCUAUUUAGUGCAGGCUAUCAUUUUUUGAGAAACUACAAAAUGGUACCACCAUGCUAACAGCCUGGCCAAAAGACACCCUACAAUCCAUCUCCUUGUGUUAGAAGAUGGUGCUGUCUGUAGAAUCCCUUGGGUUGAGGCAGACGCUUCUCCUCAACUCACCUGAACAGAGCCUUCGUGGUGGAACCGUGGGCUACUCGAAGCUUAGAAAUUGCUAUGCGGAAGACACAGCAAAGCAUGAUGUGUAUAGAAUCCUCGACGUUCUAGCCCUCUAUCAGGUCACUGGGGAAAAGCAGUGUCUUUAGACAUGAAUACAGGACUUAGACUUUUCAAUGUGCCACUGUAGCAAGGACUAUGUUACAUGACGCUGUCAUGUUUUCUGAUGACUGCCCGGGGCCAUUCAUCAUUAACUUAAACAUUUCUCAGAAAUGAAGAAAAGACACAGAGAAGGCCUGGUGUGGUGGUGUGUGUCUGUAAUCCCAGUACUUGGGAGGCAGAGGCCGGCAGAAGUCCAAUGUUACUCUGUCCGACAUAGUGAGUUCUAGGCCAUCCAGAGCUGUGCACUGAGACCCUAUCUUUAAAAAGGAGAAAGUAGCAGGGCCCUGAAACCAAAACGUUUUCUUUCAUUGGAGAGAUCAAUUAUGCUUUGCUGUACCCCUAAACAACAGAGACUCUCAGUGAAAUACUGACAUUAGGAAUCUUACUCAACUGUCAAAAUAUAUCCUGGAUAAAAAUCUGAGUUUUUGCACACCUUCAUCUUAACUAAAUUAAUCUUUUCUAUAUAAAUAUUUAUUUCUGUGGGUCCAAGAUUUAAAUAUAACUCAGUCAUCUAUUGUGAUGGAGCUGGCUAUGGCUACCAGGGUAGCCUUGGCACACAGGACAUUGACCUGUGCCAGAUGGGUCUAUCUGAAGUGCUUGACAGCUAGUCAGUUAUUUACAUCUGGCUGUCCAGAUGUGAUUCAGAAGUGAUGAAACCAAUUUUUUUGUAUCUAAAUAGAAUUUCACACCCAGCCAAGUGUCUUGAAUAGGAGAACAUUUUUCUCUUCAAAUGACUUCAACACACACACACACACACACACACACACACACACACACACACACCCCUCACCACCAUCACAGUGCAUGACAAUGAUUUAUCCUCGACAAAUUAAAGAGGACAACACUCCACAGAGUAUGCUGUACAAUGCAUAACAAAUGCCUAUAUUCAUAUUCUGUAGGCUGUCCUGAGCUGAAUGCGGUCUAAAUAUCACAUUCUCACACUCUUUAUGGCUUUGCAUGCUGCGGGGGUUAGCUGAGUUUUUAACAACUGUUUCUCACGAAGCCGGAAGACAUUCUUUGGCCUUGUCUGCAGUGCGCUUGCCAAAUGAGUAGAUUACUGCCGGGAAGUCCAGUAUCUCAGGUAUGGAAAUCAAGUCAACCGGGUGUAUUAGCAACUCUAAAAGCCACAGGACCCAGUAGUUCAAUGGUAGGAUAGUUUAACAGCUCAAUCUUAAGAGGAGAGAAUACAAAUACUUAUAGCCCUGGACCCACAACUGGGAAUCCUUUUCUUGUUGUGGGAUGUGUCCAGGGGAGUCGAGAAGGUAGAGGCAACCGCUGGAGCUCUGGUCAUCUGAAUCCUUCAUUAAGUUCAGAGCAUUGGGCUUACUUCCCUGCUGAUUUCAGCUAAUACCUGUUCCUGCCCGACCCCUUCCUACUCCAAAUCUAAACCAUGGAACAAUGGAGUAGCAGAGUCUUGUAGAGCAUCUGCCUUUUGACUGGUAAUUUGAAAUGGGCCAGCAGAUCUCUGCUGAGGCCUCCCUAUCUUCCUUUGUUCUUAGAGUAUUACCCCACCAAGCCGUUGUGCCAGAACAUUUCUAUUUGGUCUGCCCAGCGGUCACAGGACUCGAGUCACUCAAAGGGACACCAGCAUCUAUCCUCAAAGCUGAUUUCUAUCUCUUCUGUCUGCAAGCCACCAUUCUCCCAGGCUGUGAUGCCAUGUCUCCGUGGGGUCAGUUAACUUCCCCUAAAGAAUCGAUUUCACAGGGCACGGGAACCUCAGCGUGGCUGGGGACUAAACCCUUCCCGUCUCCAUAUGCACCCAGAGCUAAGGCUGUCCCACAGCUCUUUGGACCUAAAACCUGCUUGCAGAGAGCUGGCCUGUCAGGAGCUCUCACUCCUAAGCCCACAGGUGAGACCCUGCUUUGUCUCCAUUGACUAUCCAAAGAGAGACCCGCAGGGAACCACAGGGCAGGCUGGGACAGAAAAAAAACCCCCUCAGCUGUGAACAACACAGCAAUGGUCAAGAUUAAGGCUUGGGACCGGCGUGGCAAGAAGAAGGAGGAGCUGUUGAAACAACUAGAUGAUCGGAAGGUGGAACUGUCCCAGCUUCCCGGGGCCAAAGUGACAGGCAGCGCCACAUCCAAGCUCUCCAAGAUAUGAGUUGUACGCAAAUCCCAUCACCCGUGUCCUCUCUGUCAUUAAUCAGACCGAAAAGGAAAACCUUAGGAAAUUCUACAAGGGAAAGAAGUUCAAGCGACCCAAGAACCUGCGACCCAAGAAGACGAGCCAUGCAGCGCUGGCUCACCAAGCAGGAAACUGAAGACCAAGAAGUAGCAGCUGAAGGAGCGGCUGUACCCACUGCCCAAGUCACAGUCAAGGCCUGAGAUGACGACAGUGACAAUAAAGUGCAAGACUGACAAACAAAACAAAACAAAACAAAACCAGACAGUAUAUAGUUUAAUCUCACUCUUCAUUUUCUAUGAAGAUCCCUUUUAUUUGCUUGUAGCAUUAUAGAAAUUCUUCAAGAUAGGGCUUGUUCUCUAUCCCUGAACACGUGCCAGCAAUCCUUUCAUAUCUGUUCUUCCAUUCACCCCCAAGGAUGCUCUCUCCUUUCUACACACUCCCUAGACAUCCUCCAUAGAUAGGGUCAAAUCCAGCUCCUGAAUUAGAUAUCCUCUGGUGACACCACUCAUGUGACAUUCAUAAUGUAACUCGGUUGCCUGAAGUUUUCCACACUCGGAACACUCUUCGCACUUCUCCCCUGGCAAUUGAGUGAGGGAAACAGUGCACUAUCUGCCCGACUGACUGACAUAUUUUAGCUUACAAGGUUUAGAAAGGCCUGUUUUAGGUGCUAACUUCUCUUGGUAGACAUGAGUCUCCUUCCUACAGUUCACCCGAGGGCUUCCCAACCUUGGAUGUGCUAAAGCAAGUGUAUGGCUUCUAGAGGGAGGAACAGAAUAGAGGGUUUCAUUGUAUUUAGCUGAGAAGAUUAUCUGUGAGUCUAGCACUCUCACAGGAUUCCAAUAACUGCAAGAUAAAACUUUCAUUUUCAUCCACAAUCACACUUACAAAGUGGUCGAGUAAAACCAUGUCUCAAAUAGCGUAAAAAUUUGUAUAUGUGUGACUUUAGAGUAACAUAUUAUCUGAAUAAAUACAGAAAACACUAACAAAAUAUACUUUAGAAACAAAAUAGAAACAAAGUGUCUUAGGAAGUUGGAACUUUAGUGGGUUCUGAGUUCAGUGUUCCAGUUCCGUCACUUCUGUUUCUUAAGAUGCUGCUGUAAGGGAGAAAUCAGUCCUAUGCAUUAAACACUGCAUUCUCUCCUUCCACUGUGCAGACGAGAGGCACAGCACGUGACUGGUAUUGCCGUACCUGCCUAUCACACAUCAGCUGUGUAGCUUCUCUGGCUGGUUUUCCAGAUAUAUCUGAGACUCCCUGAGGGAGAGAUGGAGUUCUUCCAGUAUUCACUCCCAAGAGUACUGUGCAUAGCUCUCAGAACACAGGGGCUGCAGAGUAACUUAGGGAACAUGAAGGCUCGCCCCAUCAGCGAGCCAGACCUUCUGUUCGGAGAAGCUGGAGAGGAAGAAUUGUAUCAUUAAUGCUCCACUGUCAACUGCCAAGUGCUUGAGUAGCAUUUGUAAUGUAUGGUUAGUAACGGUUCCGAGUAACCCCAAAAGACAGAGUCAGGGAGCUACUCAAAAUUGCAGUGGACUUCCCCCGAGUGGCUAUGCGCCUUUACAGUCUGCCGAUUCAUCUCCUCCACAGAUAAUCUGGAGAAGCUUGAUGUGGGCUGGCAAUAUGGGUCAACUCAUUCAUCCUCACAAUGGGCCUUUGUCAACAUUGUGGUAGGUACCGCACACUGAGGACCAGGCAUUAAACAAAACAAGCAAGUCCCUGCGAACCUGGAUGUCCUGUUCUUUUGGAAACAAUCAACAACAGGAACAACAAAUGGUAUGCGGUAGGUGAAACUAUUCACGCAGGAAGUGUCAUGAAGCACUGAGCGGUGGUGGGGGUUGGCGGGGAGGGCGAUGAGCUCAGGCUGUAGGGGAAUGCUGUUCUGUUGCAGUAACAUUUAGUACAGACAGCAGGGGAGAGGACCAUGUGGGCACUGGGUGGGUGUUCCUUUAGCUGUUGCGGACAGCUAGAACAUCAUGUUGUGUUCAAAAACUAGGACACUCAAAGACUAAUAGGGUCAUGUCAGAAGGACCCAGAAUCAGCUUAAAAGGCUUCCCGCUGACGAAUCUUAGGACAGUGUGACAGCCCAAAAGAGGCACGAUGGUUGUGAAUUAUUAUAUGCCAAGUAGAUGUUUGUUUUCUAUUCCUGGUUUUAAAAAUGUAUGAGUCAACAGUAACAUGUCUGAAAUUGAGAGAGAAAGAGAGAAAGUUCCUUAGCUGACAGAUUAGUGACAGUAUUAGAAACUUGCGACAAAUUUCAGUACAAAACUCAUCCAAUCAGGGUCAUUGAUGAAUGUAAAAGCCAGUGUAGGUAAUUUUGUUGGUAGAAAUAUAUUCACAUGAGAUCAAAAUAUUACCCCAGGCAGGGUUUAGUAAGCAAAAGGGACAUGACUGUAGGGAACUUUAGACACAGGGCUUCAGGCCUCUUGCUUAAGGCUAUAAUAGAGCAUCAUCAGCUGUCAUUGCUAGGUACUGGGCUUCAGGCUUCAUGGUAAAGAAUAAUUCUACCCC